Molecule: ribosomal RNA, 158 nt
Filed under: uncultured Bacillus sp.
Lineage: Bacteria; Bacillati; Bacillota; Bacilli; Caryophanales; Bacillaceae
Description: partial 16S ribosomal RNA
Rfam family: Bacterial small subunit ribosomal RNA
Source: RNAcentral
AGGAAUAUUGCGCAAUGGACGAAAGUCUGACGGAGCAACGCCGCGUGAGUGAUGAAGGCUUUCGGGUCGUAAAACUCUGUUGUUAGGGAAGAACAAGUACAAGAGUAACUGCUUGUACCUUGACGGUACCUAACCAGAAAGCCACGGCUAACUACGUG